AACCCGGGGAACUGAAACAUCUAAGUACCCGGAGGAAAAGAAAUCAAACGAGAUGCCCACAGUAGCGGCGAGCGAAGAGGGCAGAGCCCAAACCUGUAAGCUACGGCUUAUGGGGGUUGAGGACUGACGUAAUUAAGGCCAGGCUUAGCUGAACUACCUGGGAAGGUAGGCGAUAGAAGGUAAGAGCCCUGUAAGCGAAAGGCAGAGCCUUAAGGUCAGUAUCCAGAGUACCACGGAGCACGAGGAAUUCUGUGGGAAGCAGGGGGGACCACCCUCCAAGGCUAAAGACUAACUGGCGACCGAUAGCGCAUAGUACCGUGAGGGAAAGGUGAAAAGAACCCCGGGAGGGGAGUGAAAUAGUACCUGAAACCGUAUGUCUACAAGCAGUCGGAGCGAAAGCGACGGCGUGCCUAUUGAAGAAUGAACCAACGAGUUAUCUGCACUAGCGAGGUUAAGUGGAAGACACGGAGCCGUAGCGAAAGCGAGUCUGAAAAGGGCGACGAGUUAGUGUAGGUAGACCCGAAACCGCAGUGAUCUACCCAUGUCCAGGUUGAAGCGCAGGUAAAAAUGCGUGGAGGACCGAACCGGUGAGCGUUGAAAAGCUUUCGGAUGAGAUGUGGGUAGGGGUGAAAUUCCAAUCGAACGCGGAGAUAGCUGGUUCUCCCCGAAAUAGCUUUAGGGCUAGCCUCAGGUAGUAAGUAUAGGCGGUAGAGCACUGAUCGGGCUAGGGGCCAUAAAGGUUACCGAACCCUGUCAAACUCCGAAUGGAUAUACUGCAGAGCCUGGGAGUCAGACUACGAGUGAUAAGAUCCGUGGUCAAAAGGGAAACAGCCCAGACCACCGGCUAAGGUCCCAAAUGCCGUACUAAGUGGAAAAGGAUGUGGGGAUUCAUAAACAACCAGGAUGUUGGCUCAGAAGCAGCCACCAUUUAAAGAGUGCGUAAUAGCUCACUGGUCGAGAGUCCCUGCGCCGAAAAUUUCCGGGGCUAAAGUACGGAACCGAAGCCGUGGCUGUGUACUUAGGUGCACGGGGUAGGGGAGCGUUGCCACAGGGGUGAAGCUGGUCUGGAAGGACUGGUGGACUUGUGGGAAGUGAGAAUGUUGGUAUGAGUAGCGAAAAGAAAGGUGAGAAUCCUUUCCACCGAAAGCAUAAGGAUUCCUGAGCAACGAUCGUCGUCUCAGGGUAAGUCGGGACCUAAUCCGAGGCAAAGAGCGUAGGAGAUGGACAACAGGUUGAUAUUCCUGUACCGGCAGCAAUUGUUUGAGCGAAGGAGUGACACAGAAGGGCAGGCAGGCGCGAGACUGGAUUGUCGCGUGCAAGCGUGUAGGGUAGUGUACAGGCAAAUCCGUACACUGAGAGCCUGAGGCGUUACGCGGAGCGAGCAGAGAUGCGAGCGAAGCUGCUGAUCCCACACUGUCGAGAAAAGCUUCUAGUGAGAGAGCUGCCGCCCGUACCGUAAACCGACACAGGUAUGCGGGGAGAGAAUCCUAAGGUGCGCGGGAGAACCCUCGUUAAGGAACUCGGCAAAAUGUACCCGUAACUUCGGGAUAAGGGUAGCCGUCUUGGUGAAGGAACUAGCUUCUGGAGCUGAAGGCGGUCGCAGAGAAGAGGCCCAAGCGACUGUUUACCACAAACACAGGUGCCUGCUAAAGCGAAAGCUGACGUAUAGGUGCUGACACCUGCCCAGUGCUGGAAGGUUAAGGAAGGAUGUCCGGGCAACCAAAGCAUUCGACCGAAGCCCCAGUGAACGGCGGCCGUAACUAUAACGGUCCUAAGGUAGCGAAAUUCCUUGUCGGGUAAGUUCCGACCCGCACGAAAGGUGUAACGAUUUGGGCACUGUCUCAACGAGGGACCCGGUGAAAUUGAAAUACCUGUGAAGAUGCAGGUUACCCGCGACUGGACAGAAAGACCCCAUGGAGCUUUACUGUAACCUGACAUUGGGUUUUGUUGUAUUACGUACAGGAUAGGUGGGAGGCUUGGAAGGCUGGACGCUAGUCUGGCUGGAGCCGGCGUUGGGAUACCACCCUUGAUACAACGGAAUUCUAACCGAGAGAGUAACGAAAUCCGGGACAGUGUCAGGCGGGCAGUUUGACUGGGGCGGUCGCCUCCGAAAGAGUAAC
This 2120-nucleotide ribosomal RNA is filed under the name human gut metagenome. RNAcentral's name for it is "bacterial LSU rRNA". It matches the Rfam family "Bacterial large subunit ribosomal RNA", at positions 181 to 2301 of the family's 2925-position model. The record is from RNAcentral.